RNAcentral lists this antisense RNA (72 nucleotides) under Lentzea flaviverrucosa. RNAcentral's name for it is "ASpks TB sRNA". It matches the Rfam family "ASpks TB sRNA". The record is from RNAcentral. Lineage: Bacteria; Bacillati; Actinomycetota; Actinomycetes; Pseudonocardiales; Pseudonocardiaceae.
CUUGAUCGAGCCGAGGUAGAGCGGCUCCUCGUCGCGCUCCUGGCCGUAGGUGGCGAGCAGCGCCUGGGCCUC